RNA transcript from Myotis davidii, 1004 nucleotides. It is a transcript of the gene named renin receptor pseudogene, with no coding region annotated. The record is from RefSeq and is a predicted model, not a curated record. The transcript has a single exon. Lineage: Eukaryota; Metazoa; Chordata; Mammalia; Chiroptera; Vespertilionidae.
CAGUGUUGCAAAUUCCAUUCAUUCCUUAUUUUCUCAAAAAACUCCUGUAUUUUUGCAGUUGGCUCCCACUGAGGAAAGAGGGUAAAUGGUGGGGAGGGCAAACUCAAUUUUUGAAGAUCUUUCAGUAACGUUAGGACAGCUCCGCAAUCGCCUGUUUCAAGAAAACUCUGUUCUUAAUUCACUUCCCCUCAAUUCUCUGAGUAGUAACAGUGAAGUUGAUCUGCUCUUUCUUUCUGAACUGCAAGUUCUGUGUGAUAUUUCAAGUUUGCUGUCUCGACAUAAGCAUCUAGCCAAGGAUCAUUCUCCUGAUUUAUAUUCACUGGAGCUGGCAGGUUUGGAUGAAAUUGGGAAACAUUACGGAGAAGAUUCUGAGCAAUUCAGAGAUGCUUCUAAGGUCCUUGUUGAUGCUUUGCAAAAGUUUGCAGAUGGCAUGUAUAGUCUUUAUGAUGGGAAUGCAGUGGUAGAGCUAGUGACUGUCAGAUCAUACGACACAUCGCUUGUGAGGAAGACGAGGACUAUCCUUGAGACAAAACAAGAGAAGAACCCAUCAAGUCCCUAUAACCUUGCAUACAAGUAUAAUUUUGAGUAUGCAGUGGUUUUCAACAUGGUACUUUGGGUAAUGAUCUUCUUGGCCUUGGCUGUGAUUAUCACCUCUUACAAUAUUUGGAACAUGGAUCCUGGAUAUGAUAGCAUCAUUUAUAGGAUGACAAACCAGAAGAUUCGAGUGGAUUGAACUUCCUUUAUGCCAGAGAUACAAAAGUGGUUUGGAAAUUGGCUGUUUUGUGAAAAUAGUGUAAUUUAAAGUAGAUAGUAUACUUUAAAUUUGUUUUAAAAAGCAAAUUUUGUUCUCUAUUUUGUGUGUGCCUGUGAAGUUGUUUAUAGUAAAGUAUAUUGACAUGAAUUGAUUUGUGUGAUAGAUUUCAUAAUAUGCUCAAAUAUUAUUAAUUAUAAUUGCAUUCCAUUUAGUAUUUGAAUAUAAUGCACUGAAAUAAAUGUAAAACAUU